Molecule: ribosomal RNA, 341 nt
Filed under: uncultured eukaryote
Lineage: Eukaryota
Description: SSU rRNA
Rfam family: Eukaryotic small subunit ribosomal RNA
Source: RNAcentral
AUAGCGUAUAUUAAAGUUGUUGUGGUUAAAAAGCUCGUAGUUGGAUCUCAGUUCGAGUCAGACGGUCCACUUGCCAGUGGUUACUGUCUGACUGAACACUUUAUCGAGUUGUCCUAUGGUGUUCUUAACCGAAUGUCAUAGGCGAUCGAUACGUUUACUUUGAAAAAAUUAGAGUGCUCAAAGCAGGCGUUACGCCCGAAUAAUGUUGCAUGGAAUAAUGGAAUAGGACCUCGGUUCUAUUUUGUUGGUCUUCGGAAUCUGAGGUAAUGAUUAAGAGGGACAGACGGGGGCAUUCGUAUUGCGACGCUAGAGGUGAAAUUCUUGGACCGUUGCAAGACGAA